Molecule: ribosomal RNA, 254 nt
Filed under: uncultured bacterium
Lineage: Bacteria
Description: partial 16S ribosomal RNA
Rfam family: Bacterial small subunit ribosomal RNA
Source: RNAcentral
UACAGAGGGUGCAAGCGUUAAUCGGAUUUACUGGGCGUAAAGCGCGCGUAGGCGGCUAAUUAAGUCAAAUGUGAAAUCCCCGAGCUUAAUUUGGGAAUUGCAUUCGAUACUGGUUAGCUAGAGUGUGGGAGAGGAUGGUAGAAUUCCAGGUGUAGCGGUGAAAUGCGUAGAGAUCUGGAGGAAUACCGAUGGCGAAGGCAGCCAUCUGGCCUAACACUGACGCUGAGGUGCGAAAGCAUGGGGAGCAAACAGGG